GUCGAUGGCCAUGCCACCCUGAACAUGCCCGAUCUUGUCUGAUCUCGGAAGCUAAGCAGGAUCAGACCUGGUUAGUACUUGGAUGGGAGACCACCUAGGAAGACCAGGUGCUGUAGGUU
RNAcentral lists this ribosomal RNA (119 nucleotides) under Pteropus alecto (black flying fox). Lineage: Eukaryota; Metazoa; Chordata; Mammalia; Chiroptera; Pteropodidae. The record is from RNAcentral.